RNAcentral lists this ribosomal RNA (233 nucleotides) under uncultured bacterium. RNAcentral's name for it is "partial 16S ribosomal RNA". It matches the Rfam family "Bacterial small subunit ribosomal RNA", at positions 118 to 351 of the family's 1533-position model. The record is from RNAcentral.
UGAGUAACCUGCCCUGGACUCUGGGAUAACCCCGAGAAAUCGGAGCUAAUACCGGAUAGGACCUGGAACCGCAUGGUUUUGGGUGGAAAGUUUUUCGGUCUGGGAUGGACUCGCGGCCUAUCAGCUUGUUGGUGAGGUAAUGGCUCACCAAGGCGUCGACGGGUAGCCGGCCUGAGAGGGUGACCGGCCACACUGGGACUGAGACACGGCCCAGACCUCCGUACGGGAGGCAG